UCCCUUACCCGUUAUCCUUUGUCUUCUCAAAACCAAGAGAAAAUCUUACUCCCACUCAGGCACUCAUUGCAUAAACCCAAAAAACAACUCCAUAAAAGCACUUAGUAAGAAUAGAAACUUUGAUUUAUUUUCUUUGUUUGAAGUUUAAUUUAUCAUGUUUUCCCCUCUUCUCUCUAUUUCUUCUGCAAAUCUGAAAAAUUAGGAUAGAUCUGCAAUCCAUGCGUUAUGGGUAAUUAGGAGAAGAAGAAGAAAGAUGUUUGCUUUGCUGAGAAACAUGUUUAUGUAGGAAAAUGGAGAAGAUAUCAUGGGUAUUUUGGUAAAGUACCUUCCACUUGAGAAAUUAAAUCCAAAACCACGUUUCCUCCGCCGUGAAAGCUAGGAACACCAGCGUCAUUGGAAAUGGCGUUUUGAGCUCUGAACUGCGUUUUCUAGAUUCAGUUUUUAUUCAUCCAAACAAGACAAAAAAUGGGGAAACCGCGUUUGAGAAUGGAAACGGAGGUUUGGCUGAAAAAACGUGUGGCCAAACACACUUCUUCUCUUACACGAUCUAUUUUCAUCUCUCACUGCAACUACAAUCUUCACCACCACUGACCUCACCACCUCACCCUACUCAUCGGUCACCACCACCAUCGUUCUUGUCAAUCACCACCACCACCGUCCUCACCAUCACACCCUUCGUUUUCAACACCACCACUCCAUCACGCCAUCCUCAACACCGUCGCCGUCAUCCAUCACAUUCGUCAUUUCCUCGCACCUUCAAUCUUAGACCUCACCUUCAAUCACCACCACCACCGUCGCUUCCCCAUCACGCCGUCGGCUUCCUCCGUCGCUCUCUCUAUCUUUUGACCUCCAAAUUUGUCUCAUGACCAACAUCUCUCAUGGUGGCAGCAUUCGAAGUUGCCGGAACGUUACCAGCAGCCUAGACUCUCCCCAAUGAGCACCUCAUCACAAAUGGGUAACUCAACCUAAUCCUAUUUUCAUAAAACUAUUCUUUUGCUGUUUGAUUUGAUGUAUCUCAAAUAAUAACCUCGCCCUUUGGUGUUUCUUAUUUCAUCAAUACAAUAAAAAGAAAACUUCUCCAUGGGAAGAAGCCAAAGGAGCAAAAAGUAGAAAGUACUGAGGGAGAGCUCUUUAUGAUGCAAAGACGUUGGAAACAUGCAUACUUGGAGCAUGAGAAAAGGUUUGCUGAACUCUUCAAGAAGCAUGCAGAGGAAAAGAAGCGGAUGCUGAUUGAAGAAGAAAAGUAGCGUCUUGAAAAAGGGAAAGAGGAGCAGUUACUGAUAGGUUGAAACCAUGUUAUGCUAUGCUCUUGGCCAGAGAAUCGUGUCGUCUUUUGUACAAGAGUUUGGCUCUAUGAUGCAGAAGAAUUUUAUUUAUACUCAAACACACAAAUAAUGUUACUUUAAUGUAGUAUACGAGAAAGGCAUGAAUUU
Long non-coding RNA from Medicago truncatula (barrel medic), 1433 nucleotides. RefSeq lists it as uncharacterized. Lineage: Eukaryota; Viridiplantae; Streptophyta; Magnoliopsida; Fabales; Fabaceae. The record is from RefSeq and is a predicted model, not a curated record. The transcript has 3 exons.